This 78-nucleotide transfer RNA is filed under the name Planctomycetota bacterium. Its description in RNAcentral is "Planctomycetes bacterium tRNA-Gln". It matches the Rfam family "tRNA". Rfam says of the family: Transfer RNA (tRNA) molecules are approximately 80 nucleotides in length. Their secondary structure includes four short double-helical elements and three loops (D, anti-codon, and T loops). The record is from RNAcentral. Lineage: Bacteria; Pseudomonadati; Planctomycetota.
UGGGGAGUAGCCCAGCUGGUUUAGGGCAUCAGGUUUUGGUCCUGAAAGUCGAGGGUUCGAAUCCCUCCUCCCCAUCUA